GUGCUUCCUUUGGUAAUAUAUACAUGAAAAUUGCAGAGAAGAUUAGCAUGGCCCCUGCACAAAUAUGACACAGACGUGCAUAUGGUCUUCCAUAUUUUU
Small nuclear RNA from Bison bison bison, 99 nucleotides. NCBI's taxonomy places the organism in Eukaryota, Metazoa, Chordata, Mammalia, Artiodactyla, Bovidae. The record is from Ensembl.